RNAcentral lists this unclassified non-coding RNA (338 nucleotides) under soil metagenome. Its description in RNAcentral is "partial contains 5.8S ribosomal RNA, internal transcribed spacer 2, and large subunit ribosomal RNA". The stretch from base 1 to 120 matches the Rfam family "5.8S ribosomal RNA", at positions 35 to 154 of the family's 154-position model. The record is from RNAcentral.
GAUGAAGAACGCAACGAAAUGCGAUAAGUAAUGUGAAUUGCAGAAUUCAGUGAAUCAUCGAAUCUUUGAACGCACAUUGCGCCCGGCAGUACUCUGCCGGGCAUGCCUGUUCGAGCGUCAUUUCAACCCUCAAGCCCUGCUUGGUGUUGGGGUCCCACGGCCGCCGUGGGCCCUGAAAGGAAGUGGCGGGCUCGCUACAACUCCGAGCGUAGUAAUUCAUUAUCUCGCUUAGGGCGUUGGGCGGCGCUCCUGCCGUUAAAGAACCAUCUUUAACUCAAGGUUGACCUCGGAUCAGGUAGGAAUACCCGCUGAACUUAAGCAUAUCAAUAAGCGGAGGA